This 301-nucleotide ribosomal RNA is filed under the name uncultured bacterium. RNAcentral describes it as "partial 16S ribosomal RNA". It matches the Rfam family "Bacterial small subunit ribosomal RNA", at positions 509 to 807 of the family's 1533-position model. The record is from RNAcentral.
CAGCCGCCGCGGGAAUACGUAGGGUGCAAGCGUUAAUCGGAAUUACUGGGCGUAAAGCGUGCGUAGGUGGUGGUUUAAGUCCGUUGUGAAAGCCCUGGGCUCAACCUGGGAAUUGCAGUGGAUACUGGAUCACUAGAGUGUGGUAGAGGAUAGUGGAAUUUCCGGUGUAGCAGUGAGAUGCGUAGAGAUCGGAAGGAACAUCUGUGGCGAAGGCGACUAUCUGGGUCAACACUGACACUGAGGCACGAAAGCGUGGGGAGCAAACAGGAUUAGAUACCCCUGUAGUCCCUGUCUCUUAUAC